This 774-nucleotide ribosomal RNA is filed under the name uncultured Neocallimastigales. RNAcentral describes it as "partial large subunit ribosomal RNA". It matches the Rfam family "Eukaryotic large subunit ribosomal RNA", at positions 22 to 646 of the family's 3401-position model. The record is from RNAcentral. Lineage: Eukaryota; Fungi; Neocallimastigomycota; Neocallimastigomycetes; Neocallimastigales.
GUACACGCUGUGACUAGCAUAUCAAUAAGCGGAGGAAAAGUAAGCCUAACAAGGAUUCCCUUAGUAACGGCGAGUGAAGCGGGAAGAGCUCAAAUUUGAAAUCUUGCAAGGUUUACCUUUCACGAAUUGUAGUUUAAAGAAGUGUUUUCUGUUACGAUCGUAAUAUAAGUUCUUUGGAAUAGGACAUCACAGAGGGUGAGAAUCCCGUAUUUGACCAUUAUUUUCAGCUUUGUGAUACACUUUCAAAGAGUCGGGUUGUUUGGGAAUGCAGCCCAAAACGGGAGGUAAAUUUCUUCUAAGGCUAAAUAUUGGCGAGAGACCGAUAGCGAACAAGUACCGUGAGGGAAAGAUGAAAAGAACUUUGAAAAGAGAGUUAAAUAGUACGUGAAAUUGUCAAAAGGGAAGCGUUUAACACCAGUGUUGUUUUCUGAAAAUCAACCUCUGUUAGCUUUAUACAUGUUUGUUUAGACCUAAUCAGCUAUCUUGCAUGUUCUAUUGUUUGCAGUGGUGCACUUUUCAGUUUACAGGUCAACAUCAGUUUUUUUUACCGUAAAAAAGUUAAAGAAAGGUAGCUCAUGGCUCCGGUCGUGAGUGUUAUAGUCUUUUUCCUAUGCGGUAGGAGAGACUGAGGUCUGCAGUGUAGGCUAUUUGGCUAGAUACUCAGGUGCUAUGUGAUACCAUUUCAUAAACAACUUGUUGAUUAUGUUUUGUCUAUUGCAUACUCGCUUGUACUAUCAUACCUACGCUUAGGAUGUUGAGUAGCGACAUACGCAC